RNAcentral lists this ribosomal RNA (513 nucleotides) under uncultured bacterium. RNAcentral describes it as "partial 16S ribosomal RNA". It matches the Rfam family "Bacterial small subunit ribosomal RNA", at positions 28 to 523 of the family's 1533-position model. The record is from RNAcentral.
GAUGAACGCUGGCGGCGUGCCUAAUACAUGCAAGUCGAGCGAACAGAUAAGGAGCUUGCUCCUUUGACGUUAGCGGCGGACGGGUGAGUAACACGUGGGUAACCUACCUAUAAGACUGGGAUAACUUCGGGAAACCGGAGCUAAUACCGGAUAACAUUUGGAACCGCAUGGUUCUAAAGUGAAAGAUGGUUUUGCUAUCACUUAUAGAUGGCCCCGCGCCGUAUUAGCUAGUUGGUAAGGUAACGGCUUACCAAGGCGAAGAUACGUAGCCGACCUGAGAGGGUGAUCGGCCACACUGGAACUGAGACACGGUCCAGACUCCUACGGGAGGCAGCAGUAGGGAAUCUUCCGCAAUGGGCGAAAGCCUGACGGAGCAACGCCGCGUGAGUGAUGAAGGGUUUCGGCUCGUAAAACUCUGUUAUUAGGGAAGAACAAACGUGUAAGUAACUGUGCACGUCUUGACGGUACCUAAUCAGAAAGCCACGGCUAACUACGUGCCAGCCGCCGCGGUAA